Poecilia latipinna (sailfin molly) is the source of this 2426-nucleotide long non-coding RNA. RefSeq lists it as uncharacterized. The transcript is spliced from 6 exons. NCBI's taxonomy places the organism in Eukaryota, Metazoa, Chordata, Actinopteri, Cyprinodontiformes, Poeciliidae. The record is from RefSeq and is a predicted model, not a curated record.
CUGGAGGAAGAGUUCAUUGAACAAUGUGACUGAAUGUUAACCAAUCAGAAGCACCGAUGAGGUUCAUCUGGAUGAAACAGGAAAUACAGUCUAGGUGUUUUAUUUCUAUAACCCUUGUUCCUGUGCGGUGCCUCUCCAACCUGGACAGGUGGCCAGUCCAUCGCAGGGCCAUUCCCAGACUCUCCAGCGCCCCCUGGAGGAUCUCUAUACACUAGAAGGGACACAUACUGGCCACUUUAUUAGGUACACCAUUUCAGUCAGCACAGAGAAUCAGCCAAUCACAGUCAAACACGGUGAAGUUCAAAGUCAGGGUCAGAAAGAGGAAGAAGGUGAAAUCAAAUUAGUCAGCGUGGCAUGGUUGUCGGUACCAGACGAGUCCAUCCAAGUACUUCAGAAUUUGCUGAUUUACUGGGAUUUUCAACAACAACCUUCUCCCAGCGAGGGUCAGGAUGGAAGAAUGUUUCCAUGUCUGAUGCUUUGACCUGAAGGAAUCCAAUAUGCAGUUUGUUUCCAGCCCAUCCCACAGUCUUGGUGCUGGUUCUGGUUCUAAUCCUGGUUCUGGCACUCAGCUCUGGCUGCUGCAGGUGUGUCCAAUCAGACAGGUGUGUGUAUCCAGACUGAUGAAGCUGCAGCUCUGUGUGUGGAUUCUGCAGCUGGACAGAGAGGUUGCUGUCCCUCUGGGCGACGUCCCUUCAGGCAGGUGAAAAACACCUGAACCAUCAACCAGAACCUGGGUCCAGUUGGACUGACCUGGUUCGGUUCUGAGGAUCAAAGGGUUGUGUUACCUCUAGUUCUGAGUCUGAAAAGGUAAAACACCGAAAUACAAAUCAGAACCUGGAGGAUGUUUAACCAGGUGAACAGUUUAAAGAUGGCAGAACACAAAAUUCUACCAGAACCCGGCUUAGAUCCCGGUUCCUGUAGUUGACAUGAACUGAGGUCUUAUGAAGGUUCCUACAGAUGGAGAGCAGCUAAACCUCCAGAGCUGAGUUCAGGCCGUGGAGACCAGAACUUGAGUGGUGCCAGGCCGACCCGUUAGGUACCACCCACUAGGCUCAGCACCGUCUCCUGAGGACUCUGGAAGCGGUUUGGGUUCUGGAUUCCUGAACCCUCUGGAGGGUCAGGUCAGAACAGAUGAGAACCAGAACCAGAACCUGCUGAAUGUGACUCUGAAUGAAACUCUGCAGGAACACUCCACCUUCUCUGCUUGGUUUGGUUUCUUCAGUGAUGUUGCAGGUCUGCGCUCCUUUACGGUGGGUCGUCUCGGCUGCCCACUGCUUCAGAAGGUACAACAAAGAAUCUCUCUGGAAAGUCCUGGCAGGAAGACAUGACCUGGAUAAGGCUGAAGACCCAGAGGAGUAGCUGGUGGGAAUCUCCCAUAUCAUCAGCCACCAGGAGUACAACUCCAGGACCAAAGAGAGCGAUGUGGCUCUGCUGAAGCUUGAGCAUCUGUUGGUUUUCAACCUGUAAACCUGAUCAUUUCUUCCACUGGCUACUGGAAGGUCCUCUAGGUUUAGAUCUUCACAGGCCGCCUCUCUUCUCUGCUGCAGAAACUCUCCAGAAUUCAAACUAAACAGAAAAUCUGGAACUUUAUCAGUUUAUUGAAAAAUCAACCUUAAAUCAAAGCCUAAACCUCACAAAUGCAGUUCUCAGACUCUGCUAGAUGUAGGACAUUUUUUCCAGAAGUCUCAACUAAAAUGCAACCGAUGAGACUGCAUCGGUUGCAUCGGUUGCAUUCUUGCUGAACUUUACUGGCAGAAUCCAAGUCUGGGAGGGGAAACGGAGGACCAGUGAAGGUGGAGUUUAGGACCCUGGGUCAAGGGUGAAGGCCUCCAUCAGGGGGUCAGACUCCCGCUGACCAGCACCAACUGGAGGAAACGGACCUACACAGGUUCUGAUUUUCCCUAGAAAGCACAACUAUGGAUGGUAUUAGAAAAGCAACAGGUCAGAUCCGGUCCAGUCCGGUCUGAGACGGUUUGGACGUCUGAUGGAGGAGCAGCAGAAGGAAACUAGCAUGGCUCUCCAGAGGCAGAUCAGCAGGUUCUGCUGUCCUCAGAUCAACCAUCUGAAACAUUUUAAAAGAGCCAUUUCUCCUCGGGUCCAUUUCCAGCACCAGUUCUGGGAGGUUCUGGAUGGGCAGCUCGGACUUUUGGGAACAGAAUGAGACCAGAACCCAGAAUGUUUCAGCUGAACUUCUCAGCAGCUCAGGAUCCCUCAGAUGUUUUCCUCCAUUUUGUAACGAACCAUUUGAGACCCGUCUACUAAACCCGGGUCCAGAACGUUGACCUGGGCAGCACUUGGUUCUGGAACUGUUCAGACCUGACGUGGAUCCUCUGCUUGCUACUCUUAUGGGAACUCCAUCAGAACCAGAACACUGUAGAACUUUUACAUCUGAGCUUCAGUUGGUUCCUGAAGGCGUCCAGGUUUAG